UACGGAGGGUGCGAACGUUAAUCGGAAUUACUGGGCGUAAAGCGCGCGUAGGCGGUUUUGCAAGUCGGGUGUGAAAGCCCGCAGCUCAACUGAGGAAGUGCGCCCGAAACUGCAGAGCUUGAGUGCCGGAGAGGGUGGCGGAAUUCCCCAAGUAGAGGUGAAAUUCGUAGAUAUGGGGAGGAACACCGGUGGCGAAGGCGGCCACCUGGACGGCAACUGACGCUGAGACGCGAAAGCGUGGGGAGCAAACAGG
RNAcentral lists this ribosomal RNA (253 nucleotides) under uncultured bacterium. Its description in RNAcentral is "partial 16S ribosomal RNA". It matches the Rfam family "Bacterial small subunit ribosomal RNA", at positions 524 to 776 of the family's 1533-position model. The record is from RNAcentral.